CCUCGAUGUCGGCUCAUCUCAUCCUGGGGCUGAAGCAGGUCCCAAGGGUAUGGCUGUUCGCCAUUUAAAGAGGUACGUGAGCUGGGUUCAGAACGUCGUGAGACAGUUCGGUCCCUAUCUGCCGUGGGAGUUGGAGUCUUGAGAAGAGCUGCCCUUAGUACGAGAGGACCGGGGUGGACGAACCUCUGGUGUAUCUGUUGUUCCGCCAGGAGCACCGCAGAGUAGCUAUGUUCGGACAGGAUAACCGCUGAAAGCAUCUAAGCGGGAAGCCCCCUUCGAUACUAGGACUCCCUAUCAGAGCCGUGGAAGACCACCACGUUGAUAGGCUGGAUGUGGAAGUGUGGUAACACAUGAAGCUAACCAGUACUAAUUGCUCGAUCGGCUUGAAUUCAUCCA
RNAcentral lists this ribosomal RNA (396 nucleotides) under Micavibrio sp. RNAcentral describes it as "partial 23S ribosomal RNA". It matches the Rfam family "Bacterial large subunit ribosomal RNA", at positions 2524 to 2925 of the family's 2925-position model. Lineage: Bacteria; Pseudomonadati; Bdellovibrionota; Bdellovibrionia; Bdellovibrionales; Pseudobdellovibrionaceae. The record is from RNAcentral.